GGAAUUGGAACCUGUGGUUAAAGAGGAGGGGAAGAAUUGCUUUAUGAGAGUGGUUGCAGCCAUGAUUUUUGGGACUGGAUGUGGGGCAUUGACAGCUUUUGUUGCAUUGUAUUUAUGGACAAUCUUUGGUAAUAGACGACCAGUGGUUCCUGAGGAGUUUGCGGGGCAACAGAUGGAUGUUAAGUACGAGAAAGUGGUGGUGUUGGAUAAAGCCAUCGAAGAUGAUGGUAAGAAGAAGGUUGAUGUUUGAAUUUGGAAAAAGAAAAACAAUUGUGU
This 276-nucleotide unclassified non-coding RNA is filed under the name Hevea brasiliensis (rubber tree). The record is from RNAcentral. Lineage: Eukaryota; Viridiplantae; Streptophyta; Magnoliopsida; Malpighiales; Euphorbiaceae.